Molecule: ribosomal RNA, 197 nt
Filed under: uncultured bacterium
Lineage: Bacteria
Description: partial 16S ribosomal RNA
Rfam family: Bacterial small subunit ribosomal RNA
Source: RNAcentral
ACGCUCGACACCUACGGAGGCAGCAGUGGGGAAUAUUGCACAAUGGGGGAAACCCUGAUGCAGCGACGCCGCGUGAGCGAAGAAGUAUUUCGGUAUGUAAAGCUCUAUCAGCAGGGAAGAUAAUGACGGUACCUGACUAAGAAGCUCCGGCUAAAUACGUGCUAGCAGCCGCGGUAAUCUGAGCGGGCUGGCAAGGC